Long non-coding RNA from Priapulus caudatus, 796 nucleotides. RefSeq lists it as uncharacterized. The record is from RefSeq and is a predicted model, not a curated record. Lineage: Eukaryota; Metazoa; Priapulida; Priapulimorpha; Priapulimorphida; Priapulidae. The transcript has 3 exons.
CCAAGCCAACCGCCUCCAGAGCAGCCGCCACUUCAUCGUUGUGUAUACUGGUAACGGGAGCAACGCCAAAACGAAAGAGACCGAGAGAGAGAGAGAGAGAGAAAGAGAGAGAGAGAGAGAGAGAGAGAGAGAGAGAAAGAAGGAGAAGAGACUGAGCCCAUCGAUUCACAAGGCAAUCAUAUCGAACUUCGACAAAGCGAAACGAAGGGGAAAAACCUAAAAAACAAGAUGCAACUGGAAGGAAAGAAAACAAACUGGAGAAUUGUGGUCUCUGCACUGCUGGUGGCGACACUAUUGCUGGCCGCAGUGACGUCAGCGGCGCCGGCAGACGAAGCAGGCAAAGUCGCGGUGAGAGAGAAGCGCAACUUGUUUGGGACGGAAUUCCUCUGCCACGUCGCAGAACACCUAAGGGAAUUCCUGCACUGCCAUUGCUACGAAAGACGCAAGCGACGAAAUGCGGACAGUGGAUGCGCAAAAGUGUGUGACUACUUACAGAAUGUCUGCUACACUCGCUGAACACAGAUGAGAACGACACAUCGACACACGCCUAAAGUGUCGCUACACUACUACAGCCAAGGCCGGAUUCAACUAGUGCGGGGCCUGGAGCAUAUAUAUAUGUUAUGAAGGGGUUGGGGAAUUUUUUUUUUAAACAAAAAUUAAAACACAUAAAUUUAAGUUAAUCUAAAUCUAACACAUUUGUAAUGGAUUUACUGAGAAAUAGACUAAUGUCAGCACUCAUUAUUGUAUCAGGUUUACGUGUAUACUAAAAAUAAAAAUAAAUGUUGUUUAAGCAAAA